CCAACAGGUCCAAAGGCAGAAGUCUGCAGACAGAUUGGGGAGUCUGAGAGAGAGAAGCUCCUUGUUUCAGCAACAUAGAGUAAGGAAACAAGAGGCUUCAAGAAGCAUUUCCUGAGAAUACUGUGAGAAUCUUGAAAUUGCCUUAUUCACAUACUACCACAGUAGAGAUCUCUUAAAAAAGCAAAGCUUCCCUUCAGGUACCUCCCACAGCAGAUCUUGGUGGUUCAAUCUGGUGACAGGUCCAUCUGAGAAUAAGAAGAACCCUGGAGAGACUGCCUGGAUGCGUCUUGAAUUCCCAGUGCUUGCCUAUAUGAUCUUUCUCUGGUCCUUUGUCUUUAAAUAAAAGCCUUAUGUGAUUGUA
Molecule: long non-coding RNA, 361 nt
Organism: Canis lupus familiaris (dog)
Lineage: Eukaryota; Metazoa; Chordata; Mammalia; Carnivora; Canidae
Exons: 3
Source: RefSeq, a predicted model, not a curated record